This 588-nucleotide long non-coding RNA is filed under the name Pan troglodytes (chimpanzee). Its description in RNAcentral is "lincRNA". The record is from RNAcentral. Lineage: Eukaryota; Metazoa; Chordata; Mammalia; Primates; Hominidae.
ACUUGGAAAUAAAAGAUCAUGAGAAUAAAGUGGACAACUUUUAAAAGGUUUAUGAGGGCUUUACAUAAUUGUUGUUGUUGUUGUUGUUGUUUUUGAGAUGGUGUUUUGCUCUUGUUACCCAAGCUGGAGUGCAAUGGCGCAAUCUUGGCCCACUGCAACCUCCACCUCUUGGGUUCAAGUGAUUCUCCUGCCUGAGCCUCCCGAGUAGCUGGGAUUACAGGCACGUGCCACCACACCUGACUAAUUUUGUGUAUUUUUAGUAGAGACGGUGUUUCACCAUUUUGGUCAGGCUGGUCUUGAACUCCUAACCUCAGGUGAUCCACCCACCUCGGCCUCCCAAAGUGCUGGGAUUAUGGGUGUGAGCCACCACGCCUGGCCUACAUAAUUAUUUUAAUGAACCUCUCAGUUCAUCACAUUAAUGCAGGGUCUGUCAUAGAAAACAUUUUUUCUAAUUCUUGAAACUGAAGUUUGUAUAAUUCCAACCAGUGUGGAAGUCUAUCUUGCGAUAACCAGAAAUAUUCCUCCACCAUGAGGUCCAAAAUAAAGUUGAAAGUAGCUGAUAUGGGACCACAGAAUAUUGGCCAAUCA